UUUGCUCUUCUUCAUCCCGCAUCUCAGCUUUUCUCCUCUAACAAAUCGCCAGCAACGGCAUGGCUGCCCAUCGCCCCCGGCCACCCGUCGCCGGCAGGCGAGGUCGUCGGCGUCGACUCAACUGAGGCUGCGUGCUGCAACCCGCCACGACGGACAGCCGCUAGCCUGGGGCGACGGCCUGGCCGUGCGCCACCACACCCCGAGUCCUCUUGCGUUUGCGCUGCACGCUCCGACGAGGCCUUGCUACGAGCGGCGACCGGUCGCCGGAGACUGGCACAGCAGCGAGGCAUGCUGCAACCUGCGUCCGUCGAAGCUGGAACCGCCAUCUCGGCGUGCUGCAACCAGGCAACACAGAGCUGCGACGGGGGCGGGUGGCGACGGGCGGGGCUGGGAUUGCUGGAGCCAGCGACGGGAGGUACUACAACCGGUGUCAUCGGGAGCAUCGACGGUCCGCGGCGGUGCUCCAAAUUUUUCUUUGGUGGAAAGACAACGAGGUGGCUUCUUUUGCUGGAACCGGCCCAUACUUUUGCUACUACCUUCUUUUGAUUUUGCUGGAGCCGGCUAGAAAUUUGCUACUACCGUAUUUUGAUUUUCGCUGAAAGAAGCCUAAUUUUUUGCGACCACCGUCUUCUACUUUUGCUGGAACCAGUAUUUGAUUUUGUUUUUUGCUGGAAACAUUAUUUGAUUUUGCUGGAACCAGCGAGUGGAUUUGCUACAACUAGCGCCCAGAUUUGCUACAAACCACAACAAUGAAGUGUCGCCGGCGGUGACGGUGCUGUGAUUUUUGCUACAACCGGUGCCCAGAUUUGCUACAAGCCUACAACCAACGACAACGAAGUGUGGCCGGCGACGACGGUGCUGCGAUUAUUUUUGGUUGCAACCAGGGAACGGCGAGCGUGGCCGGCGAAGACGACACACGAUUUUUUGUUGCUGCAGCGGGUGCUGGGAUUUUAUGCGGAACCAUGGGGGCUCCUGGAACUGCGGUUGUCCGGGAUCGAGAAUGGCGAGCUGGCGGCGCGGGAGAGGAAGGAUUCUCUCGUUCGUGCUAUUGGCGAGUCACGACAGCGCGUAGGGGGUGCAGCGAGCGACGCCGGGAGGAGGGAUUCGCCCAGGUCUCUGAUUUGGGGACGAAGCAGUGGGGAAUAAGAAGAUAUGAUGACGUGGGGAUAGGGAUCGGAUGGCUAUGGGGUACAAAAUCGGACGGAUUGCGUGCGACCGGCCGAACCGUAGUGCCGGUCCGCCGGCGCCUAACAAUCGCCUUUCAUCCAUGAUAAAAAUGCUUAAAAUUGUUGUUUGCUUUUUUACUUAAAUGGCAUGCUAAAAUGGUUUAUUUCAUAACUAAAUAACCGUAACUCUGAAUUUAAUAAAUUAUAUAUGUAACGUGCUCAGAAAAAUGCAUAGAUAAACUUGGUGCACUUAUUUUGCAUGCUUAACAACUCUAAAAUUGUGUAUAGGUAGAACAGUACCAAAUUUAAAAUAUGCGCAUGAGAAUUUUCCGGAAUUGUUGUUCGUUGUUCCGGCCUCAUUUAAACUUGCCUAAAUAGUUACUUUACUUAUGCUUCACCUCUUGC
This 1571-nucleotide long non-coding RNA is filed under the name Triticum aestivum (bread wheat). RNAcentral's name for it is "long non-coding RNA (TAES_LNC000141)". Lineage: Eukaryota; Viridiplantae; Streptophyta; Magnoliopsida; Poales; Poaceae. The record is from RNAcentral.